CGUGGGUGAGGCCUGGCUCUGUGUAGCCCUGGCAGGGCCCGUGUGGGAUGAGGGCGUGGCCUGGCCCUGUGUAGCCUGUUUGCUCCUCCCCGCCCUUUGGCUUGCUCCUCACAGAGAAGCCCCAUGCGGAGGACACCUCCUCCAGAGAGACACCUGCCCACAGCCCCGACAUCUCCGUGCCCCUCCUGCCUCCUUCAAGCUCCCUUUCUUUCCUCUCCUGCAGAUUUAACUGGGGAUAUUUAUCUGGACAAUACUCCAUUAAGAAAAUUUGCAAUCUAUAGCUUGGAGAUGAAAACUAAACUCAUUUGGUUUAGGGGUGGAAAGGGGUGGAAGAGACCUCAGAAAUCAUCCAGACAAAUCUCCCUCCCGUUUUUAGUAAGAGACCCAGAAAGUUGAAGGAGAUGACCCCACGUUUCACAGUUGCCUGGGGGCGGAGUGGUGCCAUCCCUCGUCCCCGCCUCCUGGCCCAACGCCUCACUCACUGCACCCUGAAGCCACCACUUGUGCUGCAGAGGGGCCCAGGCUCCAGGGAAGAGGCUCACUCCAAAGUCACAGCCGGCAUGUUAGGAAGGCCUGACCCUUGGCUGGGCCCUGACUCUCUCUUAGGACCCUACCCACCGUCUGGAAACUCGUCUUCAGUCGAGUGCAGGGCCUUGCGUUCCUCCUCAGUUUACUGCGAGUUGGUGACCCCCCGAGACACCCUCAUAACACUGGAGGGUUGAGAGACAGUCAGAAUGAAGGCAAAGUUUCCCAUGCACAGAAAGCUCCGUGAGAAAGCAAUUCCAAGAGUAAUGGAAGGAAAAACUCUGGGGAAUUCCGUUUGAACCCUGGCGACUGAGCCCAUAAACAUCUUUCUGGAAUGAGGUUUGAAGCAAGCAGCAGUCUAACCUGGGGUAGCCUGUGACUCUGACAUUAACACCAGAGUGGUGGGUCUCAAUGUGUGGUUCUCAGACAAGCUGCGGCAACCUCACUUGAAGACUUGUUGGAGAUACAAAUUCCCAGGCCCACACUAGACCCUCUGGGGCAGAAGCUCUGGGGUUGAGGCCCGCAAUCUGUGCUCCCAUGCCCUCCAGGCGAUUCCAGCACAGGCUGAGGUUUGCAAACAGUGCUGUGAAAGGGGCAGGGAAGCCCCAUUAUAUGAUGUUUCCAGCAAGGCAGCCUCACGUUGCUUCACUGAAGUCACUCGAAGAAGCCUCUGCUCCUCCUGCUUUUCCAAGAGUCGUGUCAUUUCAAGACUUCCGCGCUGGCUGUAGAGAGUGGAGACAGCCCGGCUCUGAGCCUGACCCCAGUGGCUUACAUGUUUCCUAGACAGCAUGUCUGUGACUACCAAGAUACCCAUAUACUGAUGGUUUAUUUUAUUGAAAAAUACACUAGUAAUAUUGAGACAGGUAUCUUUUAGGCCAUCUGGCUGAUAAUCAAUAUAGAGCUACUGAUGACCAUACUGGCUCACAUUUGCCCUGUACAUCACUGUUCUUGGAUCCCUGAGGACCACAUACACUAUCACCUUAGAGAAAACAACGGCUGUAGUUUUCAACAUGCUUUCUCAUCCAUCAUCUCAGUUCACCCUUCUCGCAAAUCUACAGAAGAGCAAUAGCAGAGUGAUCCGAUGCCCACCCACGGUGACAAAGCUGAGUCUCUGGACUCCAGGCUGGAGCUGUUUUUGUGCACCAAGCCCUUGCCAGAGCAGCUCUGUGGAAAGGGAGGGAGGAGGAAGCCUCGAGACAGACAGGGCUUGACUGGACCCUGAGGUCCGGGAGGCAUGAGGACAGACACACUGGGGAAAGCAGCGAUCCCGCCCCCGUUCUGAAGGAAGAGAAAAACCCCUGGCAAUUUUUACCUUCUAGAAUCUGGUGGACCCUGGAGUCCCGCAUGUACUGCUGAACAGCGUAAUCCUUCAGGUAGCCGUAGCCGCCGUGCAUCUGUAAGGCCUGGUUGCAGAUCUGCAGGGAGACAGGGACUAGACGUCUUGGACUCCGGGAAGACUGUGGAGCAAGCAGCUUCCCUUCCUACCCCAGCCCACGAUCUGGCAGCCCGCUGUAAACUAAUGAAAGAACCACAAACAGCCAAGCUCAAAGAGGCCUCCACAUUCUGUACGGUUAGAGACAAGGAAAGUUCACCUACUAAACUUGUCAGUCCCCACCAGACAGGCAGGCGACUCAAAGCCCUCUGGCCCUCUGGCUUAUUACCUGCCAGGCACAAGCUGCCCACGGCCACCCUGGCUGGGAUAAGCAGUAGUUAGGGUUCCCCCUAGCGGCAAAGCAGCCUCAGUGUAGCUCCGCCCCUGACAAUGUAAACAGGGCAGAGGGCUAAAUUUGGGCUGCUGUGAACCUUCCAAAGGUGGUGUCGCACCUAGAACACAACCAAACAAUAGUGCCGUAAUGAAGUGUGUAAUGGCAUGCAGCAGACCUGAAAGCCAGUGAUGAGAGCUCCCACGCAGGCCGCUCCUGAGUUAAUUUAUAUCCUUCAGCUUAAGGUGAUCCCCGUGGCAUUCCAGAAGGGCUUUGUUCCAAAGCUGACUCACGCCUCUCAAGACCCUGGGCCUAGCGGCUGUUCCCUGUCCACCCAGCGGAGCCAGAGGAAUCACUUACAGCAAAGCAUUCAUCUGUAGCAAAGAGCUUGGCCAUGGAGCACAAGGCCACUGCCUCUUUCCUCUCUUCCUGCAGAGCCACUGCUGCAUUGCGGAUCAUCAGCCGUGCGGCCACCAGCCUUGUUGCCAUAUCAGCCAGUGUGAACUGCAAGUACUGCAGCACAGGGAGAAGAGAACCAGACAAGACUGAGGGGCUUAGACCAGCACCUGGUGCAGAAGCCUGGCUGAGACAUCUCUGAGGCACCUUUUUCUAAGUGAUCCAAAGCUUCACAGUCUCUUGCUUUUUCUAGAGGAAAUUUAUUGCUUUAUAAGUGCUAAGUCCACUUCACUCACCCAACACUCUAGUAUCAGUAAAGAUAUCCUGAGAAAAGAUGGACAGAAAUAAAGCACAAGCUCUGGCUAGGACAGUGGUGGGACUGGAAGAGGAAUUUCCUGGCUUCUCUCCUAGAAAAUGUGGGCCCUAGAGCAGGUCCUGGGCUGCAAAUAGCGGAAAGCCAUGUGGAGGCAAGGGAGAGGUUACCUGGUUACUGGCCAGAGGCUCUCCAAACUGCUUCCGGACCUUGAGGUGGUCUCGGGUGAGGAUGACAGAGGCGUGGGCAGCCCCCAGAGAGCAGGAAGCUAGAGGGGUAGAGCGCCGACGUUCCAACUGAGCUGGAAAACAGCACUGCUGGACCCGGACUGCCACCUCCCUACCGCACCCCUUCGUGUCUCACCAAUAUUGAUCCUCCCUCCGUUCAGUCCUUUCACGGCAAUGAGGAAGCCCUGCCCCUCGUCCCCAAUUCUGUUGGCCAAAGGGACGGCACAGUCUUCGAAGAUCACAGCUCGUGUUGGCUGGGAGUUCCAC
This is a long non-coding RNA of Chlorocebus sabaeus (green monkey), 3431 nucleotides long. RefSeq lists it as uncharacterized. The record is from RefSeq and is a predicted model, not a curated record. Lineage: Eukaryota; Metazoa; Chordata; Mammalia; Primates; Cercopithecidae.